AUUUUAUGUUUAUUCAGGAAACUAACAGCGCUUAUAAAACAUAUGUGACUUAAGAUAAUUAAUAGUAUACAAGGCCAAUAACAAGUUCCCACAUUAUUAACUAAUAACAAGUUGUAAACGAAACAAAACAAAGUUAUACAUUUUAAAUUCUGACUAACAAAGUGACAAAAUACCAUUCAUAAUAAUGUUGCCAGUAUA
Non-coding RNA from Plutella xylostella (diamondback moth), 198 nucleotides. Lineage: Eukaryota; Metazoa; Arthropoda; Insecta; Lepidoptera; Plutellidae. The record is from RefSeq and is a predicted model, not a curated record.